GACGAACCGUGCGAACGUUAUUCGGAAUCACUGGGCUUAAAGGGUGCGUAGGCGGGCGGUCAAGUCAGGGGUGAAAGCCUCCAGCUCAACUGGAGAAGUGCCUUUGAUACUGGCCGUCUUGAGGGGUGCAGGGGCAUGCGGAACUCAGGGUGGAGCGGUGAAAUGCGUAGAUAUCCUGAGGAACACCGGUGGCGAAAGCGGCGUGCUAGACACCUACUGACGCUGAGGCACGAAAGCCAGGGGAGCAAACGGG
Molecule: ribosomal RNA, 253 nt
Filed under: uncultured bacterium
Lineage: Bacteria
Description: partial 16S ribosomal RNA
Rfam family: Bacterial small subunit ribosomal RNA
Source: RNAcentral